ACAUAACUGAUGCCUCCGCGUAUCGACUUUGUGCGCAUUUUAGCUAUUAUGUGUUCUUUUAAUUAAAAUGAUUCUUUUUAAGAUUCAUCUAUUAAAAAUUUGCUUCGGCAUAAUUUUUUUUGAUGAUCUUGUUACUUUGAGUAAAUUAGAGUGUUCAAAGCAAACAGAUAUAGCAUUUGUGCGUUUGAAUACUACAGCAUGGAAUAACAAAAUUGAACAAGUCAGAAUUUUUUUGUUCUUUUUUCUUAUUUUGGCUUAGUUACGAUUAAUAGGAGUAGCUUGGGGGCAUUUGUAUUCAGAUGUCAGAGGUGAAAUUCUUAGAUUUUCUGGAGACAAACAACUGCGAAAGCAUUUGCCUAAAAUACUUCCAUUAAUCAAGAACGAAAGUUAAGGGAGUGAAGACGAUCAGAUACCGUCGUAAUUUUAACCAUAAACUAUGCCGACUAGGCUUUGGAUGAAAGAUUUUAAAAUAAGAGUUUUUCUUUUCUCUCCGGAGAUUAGAGCUCUUAGAUUGCUUCCUUCAGUGCCUUAUGAGAAAUCAAAGUCUUUGGGUUCUGGGGCGAGUAUUCGCGCAAGCGAGAAAGUUAAAAGAAUUGACGGAAGGGCACCACCAGGCGUGGAGCUUGCGGCUUAAUUUGACUCAACACGGGAAAACUCACUAGUUUAAGACAAGAGUAGGAUUGACAGAUUAAUAGCUCUUUCUUGAUUUCUUGGAUGGUGAUGCAUGGCCGUUUUUAGUUCGUGGAUAUGAUUUGUCUGGUUAAUUCCGAUAACGAACGAGAUCUUAACCUGCUAAUUAGCGGCAAAUACGAUAUAUUCUUAUGUAGAAUUGAAUAUAGUGGAUUUGUUGGAUUUUGAAGAAAAUAUUGGAAUUACGUUAAAUGUGAUUCCUUUCCCUUUUCUACUUAAUUUACAUUUCCAUCUAUUUCUUUUUUGCGUAUGAAUGUAUUUGCUUGAUUGUAAAGCUUCUUAGAGGAACGAUGUGUG
This 987-nucleotide ribosomal RNA is filed under the name Plasmodium knowlesi. RNAcentral's name for it is "SSU rRNA". It matches the Rfam family "Eukaryotic small subunit ribosomal RNA", at positions 638 to 1428 of the family's 1831-position model. The record is from RNAcentral. Lineage: Eukaryota; Apicomplexa; Aconoidasida; Haemosporida; Plasmodiidae.